AGUGAACGCUGGCGGUAGGCCUAACACAUGCAAGUCGAACGGCGGCACAGUAAGAGCUUGCUCUUACGGGUGGCGAGUGGCGGACGGGUGAGGAAUACAUCGGAAUCUACUUUUUCGUGGGGGAUAACGUAGGGAAACUUACGCUAAUACCGCAUACGACCUACGGGUGAAAGCAGGGGAUCUUCGGACCUUGCGUGAUUGAAUGAGCCGAUGUCGGAUUAGCUAGUUGGCGGGGUACAGGCCCACCAAGGCGACGAUCCGUAGCUGGUCUGAGAGGAUGAUCAGCCACACUGGAACUGAGACACGGUCCAGACUCCUACGGGAGGCAGCAGUGGGGAAUAUUGGACAAUGGGCGCAAGCCUGAUCCAGCCAUACCGCGUGGGUGAAGAAGGCCUUCGGGUUGUAAAGCCCUUUUGUUGGGAAAGAAAAGCAGCAGGUUAAUACCCCGCUGUUCUGACGGUACCCAAAGAAUAAGCACCGGCUAACUUCGUG
RNAcentral lists this ribosomal RNA (492 nucleotides) under uncultured bacterium. Its description in RNAcentral is "partial 16S ribosomal RNA". It matches the Rfam family "Bacterial small subunit ribosomal RNA", at positions 29 to 507 of the family's 1533-position model. The record is from RNAcentral.